UUGAACGCUGGCGGAAUGCUUUACACAUGCAAGUCGAACGGCAGCACGGGGGCAACCCUGGUGGCGAGUGGCGAACGGGUGAGUAAUACAUCGGAACGUGCCCAGUCGUGGGGGAUAACUACGCGAAAGCGUAGCUAAUACCGCAUACGAUCUACGGAUGAAAGCGGGGGAUCGCAAGACCUCGCGCGAUUGGAGCGGCCGAUGGCAGAUUAGGUAGUUGGUGGGGUAAAGGCUCACUAAGCCGUCGAUCUGUAGCUGGUCUGAGAGGACGACCAGCCACACUGGGACUGAGACACGGCCCAGACUCCUACGGGAGGCAGCAGUGGGGAAUUUUGGACAAUGGGCGCAAGCCUGAUCCAGCCAUUCCGCGUGCAGGAUGAAGGCCUUCGGGUUGUAAACUGCUUUUGUACGGAACGAAACGGCUCUCUCUAAUACAGGGGGCUAAUGACGGUACCGUAAGAAUAAGCACCGGCUAACUACGU
RNAcentral lists this ribosomal RNA (482 nucleotides) under uncultured bacterium. Its description in RNAcentral is "bacterial SSU rRNA". It matches the Rfam family "Bacterial small subunit ribosomal RNA", at positions 30 to 506 of the family's 1533-position model. The record is from RNAcentral.